Molecule: ribosomal RNA, 432 nt
Filed under: uncultured bacterium
Lineage: Bacteria
Description: partial 16S ribosomal RNA
Rfam family: Bacterial small subunit ribosomal RNA
Source: RNAcentral
AGCGAACGCUGGCGGCAGGCCUAACACAUGCCAGUCGAACGAACUCUUCGGAGUUAGUGGCGGACGGGUGAGUAACACGUGGGAACGUGCCUUUAGGUUCGGAAUAACUCAGUUAAACUUGUGCUAAUACCGAAUGUGCCCUUCGGGGGAAAGAUUUAUCGCCUUUAGAGCGGCCCUCGUCUGAUUAGCUAGUUGGUGAGGUAAAGGCUCACCAAGGCGACGAUCAGUAGCUGGUCUGAGAGGAUGAUCAGCCACAUUGGGACUGAGACACGGCCCAAACUCCUACGGGAGGCAGCAGUGGGGAAUCGUGCGCAAUGGGCGAAAGCCUGAAGCAGCCAUGCCGCGUGAAUGAUGAAGGUCUUAGGAUUGUAAAAUUCUUUCACCGGGGACGAUAAUGACGGUACCCGGAGAAGAAGCCCCGGCUAACUUCGU